GACGAACGCUGGCGACGCGCUUAACACAUGCAAGUCGAACGGAAAGGCCUGCUUUCCCUUGUGGAUUGCGGGUACUCGAGUGGCGAACGGGUGAGUAACACGUGAGUGAUCUGCCCCCAACUUGGGUAUAAGCCUGGGAAACUGGGUCUAAUUCCCGAUAGGACUGCAGGGUGGUGCCUGUGGUGGAAAACGAUUUUCUAGUGGUUGGGGAUGAGCUCGCGGCCUAUCAGCUUGUUGGUGGGGUAAUGGCCUACCAAGGCGGCGACGGGUAGCCGGCCUGAGAGGGUGGACGGACACAUUGGGACUGAGAUACGGCCCAGACUCCUACGGGAGGCAGCAGUGGGGAAUAUUGGACAAUGGGCGGAAGCCUGAUGCAGCGACGCCGCGUGGGGGAUGACGGCCUUCGGGUUGUAAACUCCUUUCGACCGCGAGGAAGCCACCUGGUUGGAAGGGUGGUGACGGUAGUGGUAGAAGAAGCACCGGCUAACUACGUG
Molecule: ribosomal RNA, 494 nt
Filed under: uncultured bacterium
Lineage: Bacteria
Description: partial 16S ribosomal RNA
Rfam family: Bacterial small subunit ribosomal RNA
Source: RNAcentral